Molecule: ribosomal RNA, 246 nt
Filed under: uncultured bacterium
Lineage: Bacteria
Description: partial small subunit ribosomal RNA
Rfam family: Bacterial small subunit ribosomal RNA
Source: RNAcentral
AGAAUCAACGCUGGCGGCGUGCCUAACACAUGCAAGUCGAACGAGAAAGUGGAGCAAUCCAUGAGUAAAGUGGCGCACGGGUGAGUAACACGUGACUAACCUACCCUUGAGUGGGGGAUAACCUAGAGAAAUCUGGGCUAAUACCGCAUAAUACCUUCGGGUCAAAGGAGCAAUUCGCUUAAGGAGGGGGUCGCGGCCGAUUAGUUAGUUGGCGGGGUAAUGGCCCACCAAGACGUAUGAUCGGUA